Molecule: long non-coding RNA, 740 nt
Filed under: Anser brachyrhynchus (Pink-footed goose)
Lineage: Eukaryota; Metazoa; Chordata; Aves; Anseriformes; Anatidae
Description: lncRNA (ENSABRG00000006207.1)
Source: RNAcentral
GCAGAAAAGGAGUGAGCAGAACCUGGUGGUGAGUAUUUUUCACUGAACACUGGUUUCUCUUCACCUCAAUACGUUAUUGUUUAAAACCAGUAUUUGUUUAAAUCUGACCAAGAAUUUUAAAGGGAAGGACUCACUCAUAUGCCCCUUGAAAUCAAGGAAAUAAUUUCUGAGCAAGGCUAGUGGAAUAGUAGAUGAGCAUUAAAUAAAUUUUAGAGUGUUAAAGGCAUAAGUGCUGGUGUCAGUAGUUUCACUGUGAUGGAGAGCAAAUGGGAUGGUAACCAGCUGAUACACACCUCAACAAGGAGCUCACGGGGGCAGCUAAGAAAUGGUACAGAGCCAUGAGUAGGAACAGUGAUACACACAACACUAUUUAUCUCAGUGUAGCUGAUAUCUACCCAUGAACAAAUCUCUGAAGCCCCCACUGCUUCCAUAUGUCAAGUGAGAAAUGAGUUUCUUCUGAUCCUUCUCUUCAUUUCUGCCUAAAAGUCCCAGCAUGGCUGUGUAUGGGGACACACAUUUUUGGUCUUUUUGUAGGGUUUCACUGUGACUGCAGGGAAGCAAGCUCCAUCUCAUGUCAGGAGACCUACAGGGAGUCAUGCCACGGUGUGAGCUGCUGCAAAGCCAUUCCCAAACACUGCUGGAGCAGCCCCGUCGAGGCAGGUGCCCAUCAUGGAAUGAGAAAGCAGGACUGCUGGAUUGUUUCACUGGCUCCUUCACCCGUCCCAGCCUGUGCCGAAUGA